UAUAAAGAACUUACCAAACUCAACACCCUAAAAACAAAUAAUCCAGUGAAGACAUGGGCAAAAGACAUGAGUAGACACUUCUCCAAAGAAGAUAUCCAGGUGGCCAACCGGCACAUGAAAAAAUGCUCAACAUCACUCAUCGUCAGGGAAAUACAGAUCAAAACCACAAUGAGAUACUGCCCCAAACCUGUCAGAAUAGCUAAGAUUAACAACUCAGGCAACAACGGAUGUUGGCCAGGAUGUGGAGAAAGAGGAACCCUUUUGCACUGCUACUGGGAGUGCAAGCUCGUGCAGCCACUCUGGAAAACAGUGUGGAGGUUCCUCAAAAAAUUGAAAAUAGAGCUACCCUACAACCCAGCAAUUGCACUACUAGGCAUUUAUCCAAGGGAUACAGGUGUGCUGUUUCGAAGGGACACAUGUACCCCCAUGUUUACAGAAGCAGUAUCCACAAUAGCCAAAGUAUGGAAAGAGCCCAAAUGUCCAUCGAUGGAUGAAUGGAUACAGAAGAUGUGAUAUAUAUAUACAAUGGAGUAUUACUCGGCAUCAAAAAGAAUGAAAUCUUGCCAUUUGCAACUACGUGGAUGGAACUAGAGUGUGUU
Panthera uncia (snow leopard) is the source of this 599-nucleotide long non-coding RNA. RefSeq lists it as uncharacterized. The record is from RefSeq and is a predicted model, not a curated record. The transcript has 2 exons. NCBI's taxonomy places the organism in Eukaryota, Metazoa, Chordata, Mammalia, Carnivora, Felidae.